GAUCCUGGCUCAGGAUGAACGCUGGCGGCGUGCUUAACACAUGCAAGUCGAACGGGGAACCUUUUAUUGAAGCUUCGGCAGAUUUAGAUUGUUUCUAGUGGCGGACGGGUGAGUAACGCGUGGGUAACCUGCCUUAUACAGGGGGAUAACAGUCAGAAAUGACUGCUAAUACCGCAUAAGCGCACAGGACCGCAUGGUCCGGUGUGAAAAGCUCCGGUGGUAUAAGAUGGACCCGCGUUGGAUUAG
RNAcentral lists this ribosomal RNA (246 nucleotides) under uncultured bacterium. RNAcentral's name for it is "partial 16S ribosomal RNA". It matches the Rfam family "Bacterial small subunit ribosomal RNA", at positions 15 to 244 of the family's 1533-position model. The record is from RNAcentral.